Molecule: non-coding RNA, 25 nt
Filed under: Mus musculus (house mouse)
Lineage: Eukaryota; Metazoa; Chordata; Mammalia; Rodentia; Muridae
Source: RNAcentral
UUCCUGAGUGGUGUAUGGUGUCAGG